ACGAACGCUGGCGGCGUGCUUAACACAUGCAGGUCGAACGGUGAAGCGCCUUCCUUUUUGGUGGGUGUGGAUGAGUGGCGAACGGGUGAGUAACACGUGAGUAACCUGCCCCCUUCUUCUGGAUAACCGCAUGAAAGUGUGGCUAAUACGGGAUAUUCUGGGUCUGUCGCAUGAUGGGUCUGGGAAAGAUAUUGUUUCGGUGGGGGAUGGGCUCGCGGCCUAUCAGCUUGUUGGUGGGGUGAUGGCCUACCAAGGCGGUGACGGGUAGCCGGCCUGAGAGGGUGGGCGGUCACACUGGGACUGAGACACGGCCCAGACUCCUACGGGAGGCAGCAGUGGGGAAUAUUGCACAAUGGGCGCAAGCCUGAUGCAGCGACGCCGCGUGAGGGAUGGAGGCCUUCGGGUUGUGAACCUCUUUCGCCAGUGAAGCAGGCCUGCCUCGUUUGUGGGUGGGUUGACGGUAGCUGGAUAAGAAGCGCCGGCUAACUACGUG
This 493-nucleotide ribosomal RNA is filed under the name uncultured bacterium. Its description in RNAcentral is "partial 16S ribosomal RNA". It matches the Rfam family "Bacterial small subunit ribosomal RNA", at positions 29 to 507 of the family's 1533-position model. The record is from RNAcentral.